RNAcentral lists this ribosomal RNA (3066 nucleotides) under Salmonella enterica subsp. enterica serovar Enteritidis str. EC20110355. RNAcentral's name for it is "bacterial LSU rRNA". It matches the Rfam family "Bacterial large subunit ribosomal RNA". Lineage: Bacteria; Pseudomonadati; Pseudomonadota; Gammaproteobacteria; Enterobacterales; Enterobacteriaceae. RNAcentral also lists the same sequence under 1 other name. The record is from RNAcentral.
GGGUUGUGAGGUUAAGCGACUAAGCGUACACGGUGGAUGCCCUGGCAGUCAGAGGCGAUGAAGGGCGUGCUAAUCUGCGAUAAGCGCCGGUAAGGUGAUAUGAACCGUUAUAACCGGCGAUACCCGAAUGGGGAAACCCAGUGUGACUCGUCACACUAUCAUUAACUGAAUCCAUAGGUUAAUGAGGCGAACCGGGGGAACUGAAACAUCUAAGUACCCCGAGGAAAAGAAAUCAACCGAGAUUCCCCCAGUAGCGGCGAGCGAACGGGGAGGAGCCCAGAGCCUGAAUCAGCAUGUGUGUUAGUGGAAGCGUCUGGAAAGGCGCGCGAUACAGGGUGACAGCCCCGUACACAAAAGCGCAUGUGCUGUGAGCUCGAUGAGUAGGGCGGGACACGUGGUAUCCUGUCUGAAUAUGGGGGGACCAUCCUCCAAGGCUAAAUACUCCUGACUGACCGAUAGUGAACCAGUACCGUGAGGGAAAGGCGAAAAGAACCCCGGCGAGGGGAGUGAAAAAGAACCUGAAACCGUGUACGUACAAGCAGUGGGAGCCCCACCACCAAAGCAUUUGCUGUACCGCGUUGACGGAGCGAAGCGACGUCAAACCGAUAAAACAGCAGUGUAAAGUGAGCCGCAGGGCGCUUUGCGCGACAGCGCAAAGGCAGGCGGUUUCGCGUAGCGAAAGCGAAUGCUUUGGGGUGGGGUGACUGCGUACCUUUUGUAUAAUGGGUCAGCGACUUAUAUUCUGUAGCAAGGUUAACCGAAUAGGGGAGCCGGAGGGAAACCGAGUCUUAAUUGGGCGUUAAGUUGCAGGGUAUAGACCCGAAACCCGGUGAUCUAGCCAUGGGCAGGUUGAAGGUUGGGUAACACUAACUGGAGGACCGAACCGACUAAUGUUGAAAAAUUAGCGGAUGACCUGUGGCUGGGGGUGAAAGGCCAAUCAAACCGGGAGAUAGCUGGUUCUCCCCGAAAGCUAUUUAGGUAGCGCCUCGUGAAUUCAUCUCCGGGGGUAGAGCACUGUUUCGGCUAGGGGGCCAUCCCGGCUUACCAACCCGAUGCAAACUGCGAAUACCGGAGAAUGUUAUCACGGGAGACACACGGCGGGUGCUAACGUCCGUCGUGAAGAGGGAAACAACCCAGACCGCCAGCUAAGGUCCCAAAGUCAUGGUUAAGUGGGAAACGAUGUGGGAAGGCCCAGACAGCCAGGAUGUUGGCUUAGAAGCAGCCAUCAUUUAAAGAAAGCGUAAUAGCUCACUGGUCGAGUCGGCCUGCGCGGAAGAUGUAACGGGGCUAAACCAUGCACCGAAGCUGCGGCAGCGACACUGUGUGUUGUUGGGUAGGGGAGCGUUCUGUAAGCCUGUGAAGGUGUGUCGUGAGGCAUGCUGGAGGUAUCAGAAGUGCGAAUGCUGACAUAAGUAACGAUAAAGCGGGUGAAAAGCCCGCUCGCCGGAAGACCAAGGGUUCCUGUCCAACGUUAAUCGGGGCAGGGUGAGUCGACCCCUAAGGCGAGGCCGAAAGGCGUAGUCGAUGGGAAACGGGUUAAUAUUCCCGUACUUGGUGUUACUGCGAAGGGGGGACGGAGAAGGCUAUGUUGGCCGGGCGACGGUUGUCCCGGUUUAAGCGUGUAGGUGUGUGUUCCAGGUAAAUCCGGUUCACUUUAACACUGAGGCGUGACGACGAGGCACUACGGUGCUGAAGCAACAAAUGCCCUGCUUCCAGGAAAAGCCUCUAAGCAUCAGGUAACAUCAAAUCGUACCCCAAACCGACACAGGUGGUCAGGUAGAGAAUACCAAGGCGCUUGAGAGAACUCGGGUGAAGGAACUAGGCAAAAUGGUGCCGUAACUUCGGGAGAAGGCACGCUGACACGUAGGUGAAGUGAUUUACUCAUGGAGCUGAAGUCAGUCGAAGAUACCAGCUGGCUGCAACUGUUUAUUAAAAACACAGCACUGUGCAAACACGAAAGUGGACGUAUACGGUGUGACGCCUGCCCGGUGCCGGAAGGUUAAUUGAUGGGGUCAGCGCAAGCGAAGCUCCUGAUCGAAGCCCCGGUAAACGGCGGCCGUAACUAUAACGGUCCUAAGGUAGCGAAAUUCCUUGUCGGGUAAGUUCCGACCUGCACGAAUGGCGUAAUGAUGGCCAGGCUGUCUCCACCCGAGACUCAGUGAAAUUGAACUCGCUGUGAAGAUGCAGUGUACCCGCGGCAAGACGGAAAGACCCCGUGAACCUUUACUAUAGCUUGACACUGAACAUUGAGCCUUGAUGUGUAGGAUAGGUGGGAGGCUUUGAAGUGUGGACGCCAGUCUGCAUGGAGCCGACCUUGAAAUACCACCCUUUAAUGUUUGAUGUUCUAACGUGGACCCGUUACCCGGGUUGCGGACAGUGUCUGGUGGGUAGUUUGACUGGGGCGGUCUCCUCCUAAAGAGUAACGGAGGAGCACGAAGGUUGGCUAAUCCUGGUCGGACAUCAGGAGGUUAGUGCAAUGGCAUAAGCCAGCUUGACUGCGAGCGUGACGGCGCGAGCAGGUGCGAAAGCAGGUCAUAGUGAUCCGGUGGUUCUGAAUGGAAGGGCCAUCGCUCAACGGAUAAAAGGUACUCCGGGGAUAACAGGCUGAUACCGCCCAAGAGUUCAUAUCGACGGCGGUGUUUGGCACCUCGAUGUCGGCUCAUCACAUCCUGGGGCUGAAGUAGGUCCCAAGGGUAUGGCUGUUCGCCAUUUAAAGUGGUACGCGAGCUGGGUUUAGAACGUCGUGAGACAGUUCGGUCCCUAUCUGCCGUGGGCGCUGGAGAACUGAGGGGGGCUGCUCCUAGUACGAGAGGACCGGAGUGGACGCAUCACUGGUGUUCGGGUUGUCAUGCCAAUGGCACUGCCCGGUAGCUAAAUGCGGAAGAGAUAAGUGCUGAAAGCAUCUAAGCACGAAACUUGCCCCGAGAUGAGUUCUCCCUGAGACUUUAGAGUCUCCUGAAGGAACGUUGAAGACGACGACGUUGAUAGGCCGGGUGUGUAAGCGCAGCGAUGCGUUGAGCUAACCGGUACUAAUGAACCGUGAGGCUUAACCUUACAACGCCGAAG